This 763-nucleotide long non-coding RNA is filed under the name Hordeum vulgare. Its description in RNAcentral is "long non-coding RNA (HVUL_LNC004440)". The record is from RNAcentral. Lineage: Eukaryota; Viridiplantae; Streptophyta; Magnoliopsida; Poales; Poaceae.
CUUGGAUCGGUCUCCGACGAUGUCUUUAAACUAUCUGGGUUGUCGGCUUGGUAAACAGCUAUAGUUACCUUAUGCUCAUAGCGAGACAGUGUCUCAACAUCCUUUCAACCUUGUUCACUUUGAUGUCUGGGGUCCAUCUCAUUUCGCCUCGAAAGGAGGUCAUCGCUACUACUAUAUUUAUAGAUGACUUCUCUCAACAUACCUGGAUAUACUUUAUUUCCUCUCGUAGGGAGGUCUUAUCUGUGUAAGCGUUUUGCUUCCAUGGUUCACACCAAGUUCUCUACGCCUAUUCUUGUAUAUUGUGAUGACUCUGGUCGAGAAUAAAUAUCCAAGAUGUUGCGUUCAAUCCUUGUUGUGGAGGGUGGUCUUGCUCGGUUCUCUUAUCCUGGUGCUCAUACUCAGAAAUGGCAUGGCUGAGGGCAAGCAUCAUCAACUAUUGAGACGACUCGUAGGUUCAAUGUCACUGCUCUCUCUUCCGUCACACGUUUGGAUGGUCACUACCUCACUUACGCCACACUUUUGGGUUGAAUGUGUCUCCACUUCCACCAUGGUCAUCUCCUUUCGAGAGUCUAUUUGAUCGUUUCCAUAUUAUUCAGCGCUUCAAUUGUUUGGUUGUGUUUGAUGUGCCCUUACUGCCUGUCAUGAAUGUACCAAACUUACUACUUAGUCUGUUGAGUGUUCAUAGGAUACAACGAUGAGCAUAAGAGAUAAUGUUGUUAGGAUCAUGUUGGUCAUCGGGUGACUAUUUAUCAUGGUAUGACUU